AACGCACGAGACCUGCGGACCUGCGGAGGGAUCAUUACCAAUUUUUAAUUAUUAGUGCGUGUCUCGGUCAAACGAGUACACGUAACUACUAAUGUAAACGUUGAACUAGAUCAUUGGUUGUGGAUUGCUUGGGAAUGGAAGAAGCGACAAGCCUCUUCCGGACAGGCAAACCCCACACCGAUAACCUUUUCAUACAUAUUACAACUAGUACAUACUACAAACAAACAACAAACAAAAGCU
RNAcentral lists this unclassified non-coding RNA (240 nucleotides) under soil metagenome. Its description in RNAcentral is "partial contains 5.8S ribosomal RNA, internal transcribed spacer 2, and large subunit ribosomal RNA". The record is from RNAcentral.